AAUCAUUAGCCUCUUAAUUAGAGGCUGGAAUGAAUGGUUUAACAUUUCCCCAACUUUUUUAAAAAUUUUAAACAAAUUUAUAUUAAAUAUAAAAAUAUAUUUAUAUAUUAACUAGACGACAAGACCCUUUCAAACUUUACUGAAGUUUAGCUGGGGUAGCUAAAUAAUUAAUAUCUUAUUAUUUUUCUAAAAAUAGACCCAAUUCAAAUUGAUUAAAUGAACAAGUUACUGAAGGGAUAACAGCAUAAUAAAUUUAUAUAGCUCUUAUUAAAAAAUUAGUUUAUGACCUCGAUGUUGAAUUAUUUUACUCCCACACGCAAGAGUGUGGAAAGUAGGUCUGUUCGACCUUUGAAUUUU
This 357-nucleotide ribosomal RNA is filed under the name Tetragnatha sp. RNAcentral describes it as "partial large subunit ribosomal RNA". The record is from RNAcentral. Lineage: Eukaryota; Metazoa; Arthropoda; Arachnida; Araneae; Tetragnathidae.